UCCGGAGGAUGCAAGCGUUAUCCGGAAUUAUUGGGCGUAAAGCGUCCGUAGGUGGUUGGCCAAGUCUGCUGUCAAAGGGUGGGGCUUAACCUCAUAAAGGCAGUGGAAACUGGCGAGCUAGAGUGCGGUAGGGGUAGGGGGAAUUCCCAGUGUAGCGGUGAAAUGCGUAGAGAUUGGGAAGAACAUCGGUGGCGAAAGCGCCCUGCUGGGCCGGCACUGACACUGAGGGACGAAAGCUAGGGGAGCGAAAGGG
This 253-nucleotide ribosomal RNA is filed under the name uncultured bacterium. RNAcentral describes it as "partial 16S ribosomal RNA". It matches the Rfam family "Bacterial small subunit ribosomal RNA", at positions 524 to 776 of the family's 1533-position model. The record is from RNAcentral.